Molecule: long non-coding RNA, 4105 nt
Organism: Panicum hallii
Lineage: Eukaryota; Viridiplantae; Streptophyta; Magnoliopsida; Poales; Poaceae
Exons: 2
Source: RefSeq, a predicted model, not a curated record
ACCGCCAGCGCCCGCGCCCAAACCCUUGCCCCCGCAUCGGAGCCGCGCGAUGCGCGCCACGCGUUCCGGCCCGCGUCCAUCAGCCGUCCGCGCGCCCCGCCCCCGCGAAACCCGCUACCUCCAAAAGCCCCUUUGGCUGCCACCCGAAACCCUAAAAGCCCCGGGGACUUUUCCCCUUCCGCCGCCGCCACACCUGAGGAGAAGAGGGAGCCAAGAGAUGGAGGAGAAGCCGCCCGUGCCAGAGUUCUUCGUCGCUGGGGAGCUUCACUGCACCGGCGACCCGAUCAACUAUAGCACCGCCGCAACUCUACCUGCACCGCUUCAACCCGUCACGUUAUACAGUGCCAGGGGAACCAAGGCCUGCGUACGAAGGUCAGGUUCAAAAUCUUGGAAAAGAUGGAUUUAGAUUAGCGAUCCACUUUGAGCAUCUACUGGAUAGUUUGCGGCAAGACCGGAAACACAAGAAGUAUUUGAAUCUGGUUCUGAGGAUAGGAAACGAGCCCAAUGAUAGUUGGCUAGCCCCUGCCAUACAAGAAUUGAUGAUGAAAAGAGGAAAGUCGGAAAGUGCCCACGUGUCCUUUGUGAAAAAGCCCAAAGGUAAAGUCAUUGUUCAUUUCAGUUGAAUUGCUCUGCUGCAACUUGCAAUUAAUGAUUAGAUCGACAUCAUUAUCUCGUCAAUUUGCACUAUUUCAUGUUUGGAAGAGUUUUUAACAACAAGGGUCGUCGAACAACCAGAACAGUACCAGUAUUAGCUCAGUGCUCUUCAGUUUCGGCCUACGCCGCAACUACACGCGGACGGUAUGGAUUUCAGAUUCCACUGCUUAAUUUGUUGAGCUACUUUGCCAAAGAUUACUGGUUUGAAGAGAAGUUUGAUAUUGAUGACUUCGUCGUCGUUGAAUCAGAGUUUUCCUACAUAUUUCAGAAACUACGUUCUUUGUCUCAACUGCAUAAAUUCAUACCAGGUAUUUCACCAAACGAUGCAGCUAAGACAAUGGCUACUGCUAAGAUAUAAAACCUAGCUUCCUUGUGGGAUAACAUGGAACCAUUCUUUAUAAAAAGUGGAAAUCUACCAAUCUAUUUUGCAACGUUAAAAUAUGAUAUGUCAAGUGGUAUUGUGGAUCUUAUCAAAAAAGGCUUUGUUGACCUAUGUUGCGAAUCAUUUCUCUUUUAGUUCGUCCAUGUGUCGCAAGUCUUUUACAAAUGAGUUUUAUCAAGUCUACAAAAGCCUUGGCUAGGUUCAGUCUCAAAUCAGUUUUGGCAACAGCCCCGGGUGCUAUUGAUUGGAGAGUGCAGAUUGGGUUGUCUAGUGAAUACAUACUGAAAAAUUAUUUCUACCAUGGCGUUGAUUUGCAUAGGAAGAUUAAGCCAAUCGGUCAAUUCAUAAAGUUUGGUGAGUUUCAAAGGGUAGAUUGAUCUUACUAUUUAAAAGCUCGUGCAAAUACAACUGAAGUACUACUGGAAUACAAGAGACAUCUGUUGGAACAUCUGGAAAAACAUUUCAGAAGAAAUGGAAAGGAAAUCCAGAAAAUGGAAGAAUCUGCUAAGGCUAAGGGGCAGUUGAAGUCAGUGGUUCAAACAAUUAAAAUUAAAGAUUUCAAUAAUAUCGAGUUAUUUGCAUCAGGUUUAUUGCCUCAAGCUGAAACAAUCGUGUUAAAGUAUAUAAUGGAGAAUAAUAAUAUGAAAGAGUAAAUGCCCUCCUUUUUGUUUGCUCCAAUUAAUAUCUUUUUCUUGAACUAUUUUCUGAAAAAAUAUGUACUUUUUUUUAGCUUUGGAAUCCUCUGUCAUUUUACAAAGCUAGAAUAUCUGAUAAAAGAGAUUUUUUGUACAACUUAUCAUUUAGGGUAUUAGGACAGAUAUGGAUAUUGUAGUGUAUUAGUAUUUUUUUUUCUCUAGAGCCUGUUAUAACAAGAGUCUCAAGUUUUGUGGCUAUGGCGGUUGAGGUCAGCACUGGUGAUACUGUAAUUAGAUCCAUGCAAUACUCAGCUCUGUAAAGUGCUUUUAACUUCAAAAAUUUUUUAGCUUAAACAUACGUGAAAGAAAGUAGCAUAUGAUUAGAAUCAGAUUAGCUUUAUUAUCUACUUUUUUGAUCUAUAUACUCCAUACUCUGUGAUAUUGGUAUUAACGAUCUCAGAACUUACAUUUGUAGGCAGAAAGUCACAUGCCUAACUCUAACAUGGACAUGUCAUACCAAUAUCACAAAGCAUGGACGAUAUAUCAGAAAAAGUAGAUAAAUAGAGCUAAUAUGAUUCUAAUCAUAAGCUACUUUCAUUUAAAUUUCAUUUACGUAUGUUUAAGCAAUAAAAAUUUUCAAGUUAAAAGCACUUUACAAUGCAGAUUAUUGUAUGGAUCCAGAUGUAGUAUCACCAGUGCAGACCUAAACCGCUAUAGCCACAAAAUUUGAGGCCUUUACUGCAGCAGUCUCCAGAGCACAAAAAAAUGCUAAUACACUACGCUAUCCAUAUCUGUCCUAAUACCCUAAUACCCUAAAGGAUCAGUUUCACGGAAGAUCUCUUUUAUCAGACAUUCCAGUUUUGUAUAAUGACAGAAGACUCCCAAAGCUAAAAAAAAAGUACAUAUUUUUUCAGAAAAGAGUUCAAAGAAAAGAUAUUAGCAGAAGUCAAAGAAAUGAGUGCACUUACUCUUUCAUGUUGUUCUCCAUUAUAUGUUUUAGCACGACUGUUUCAGCUUGAGGCAAUGAACCUGAUGCAAAUAACUCGAUAUCAUCGAAAUUUUUGAUUUUAAUUGUUUGAAUCACUGACUUCAACUAUCCCUUAGCCUUAGCAGAUUCUUCUAUUUUCUGGAUUUUCUUUUCAUUUCUUUUGAAAUGUUCAUCCAGAUGUUACAACAGAUGUCUCUUGUAUUCCAUCAGUGCUUCAGUUGUAUCUGCACGAGCUUUUAAAUAGUAAGACCAAUCUAUCUUUUGAAACUCACCAAACUUUAUGAAUUGAGCGAUUGACUUAAUCUUCGUAUCCAAAUCAACGCCAUGCAAGAAAUAAUUUUACAGUACGUAUUCACUAUACAACCCAAUCUGCACUCUCCAAUCAAUAGCACCUGGCGCUAUUGCCAAAACUGAUUUGAGACUGGAGUCCUCGCCAAGGCUUUUGUAGACUUGAUAAAACUCAUUUGUAAAAGACUUGCGACACAUGGACGAACUAAAAGAGAAAUGAUUCGCAACAUAGGUCAACAAAGCCUUUUUUGAUAAGAUCCACAAUACCACUUGACAUAUCAUAUUUUAACGUUGCAAAAUAGAUUGGUAGAUUUCCACUUUUUAUAAAGAAUGGUUCCAUGUUAUCCCACAAGGAAGCUAGGUUUUGUGUCUUAGCAGUAGCAAUUGUCUUAGCUGCAUCGUUUGGUGAAAUACCUGGUAUGAAUUUAUGCAGUUGAGAUAAAGAACGUAGUUUCUGAAAUAUGUAGGAAAACUCUGAUUCAACGAUGACGAAAUCAUCAAUAUCAAACUUCUCUUCAAACCAGUAAUUUUUGGCAAAGUAGCUCAACAAAUUAAGCAGUGGAAUCUGAAAUCCAUACCGUCCGCAUGUAGUUGCGGCGUAGGCCGAAACUGAAGAGCACUGGCCUAAUACUGGUACUGUUCUGGUUGUUCGACGACCCUUGUUCGUUAAAAACUCUUCCAAACAUGAAAUAGUGCAAAUUGACAAGAUAAUGAUGUCGAUCUAAUUAUUAAUUGCAGGUUGCAGCAGAGCAAUUCAACUGAAAUGAACAAUGACUUUACCUUUGGGCUUUUUCACAAAGGACACGUGGGCACUUUCCGACUUUCCUCUUUUCAUCGUCAAUUCUUGUAUGGCAGGGGCUAGCCAACUAUCAUUGGGCUCGUUUCCUAUCCUCAGAACCAGAUUCAAAUACUUCUUGUGUUUCCGGUCUUGCCGCAAACUAUCCAGUAGAUGCUCAAAGUGGAUCGCUAAUCUAAAUCCAUCUUUUCCAAGAUUUUGAACCUGACCUUCGUAGGCAGGUCUUGGUUCCCCUGGCACUGUAUAACUGCAAAGCCCAAAAGUUAGAACAAGGUUUCAAAAUUUUGGCAAAUUUAGAAUAGAGUUUACAAACUUUUGGUGAACUUAGAACAUGAUUUACAGAAUUUUAGUGAAUUGGUUUU